This 406-nucleotide ribosomal RNA is filed under the name uncultured bacterium. RNAcentral's name for it is "partial 16S ribosomal RNA". It matches the Rfam family "Bacterial small subunit ribosomal RNA", at positions 30 to 526 of the family's 1533-position model. The record is from RNAcentral.
AUUGAACGCUGGCGGCAGGCUUAACACAUGCAAGUCGAGCGAGCGGCGGACGGGUGAGUAAUGUCUGGGAAACUGCCUGAUGGAGGGGGAUAACUACUGGAAACGGUAGCUAAUACCGCAUACCAUCAGAUGUGCCCAGAUGGGAGUAGCUAGUAGGUGGGGUAAUGGCUCACAUAGGCGACGAUCCCUAGCUGGUCUGAGGGGAUGACCAGCCCCACUGGAACAUAGGCACGGUCCAGACGCCUACGCGAGGAAGCAUGGGGGAAUAUUGCACAAUGGGCGCAAGCCUGAUGCAGCCAUGCCGCGUGUGGGAAGAAGGCCUUCGGGUUGUAAAGUACUUUCAGCGAGGAGGCGUUACUCGCAGAAGAAGCACCGGCUAACUCCGUGCCAGCAGCCGCGGUAAUAC